GUCGGUGUAGUUUAGUGGUUAAAAUCCUUAGUGGUAACUGAGUGUCCCGAGGUUCGAUUCCACGGCGCCGACC
Amniculicola lignicola CBS 123094 is the source of this 73-nucleotide non-coding RNA. The record is from the annotation of a GenBank genome assembly. Lineage: Eukaryota; Fungi; Ascomycota; Dothideomycetes; Pleosporales; Amniculicolaceae.